This 497-nucleotide long non-coding RNA is filed under the name Helianthus annuus (common sunflower). RNAcentral describes it as "hypothetical non coding rna". Lineage: Eukaryota; Viridiplantae; Streptophyta; Magnoliopsida; Asterales; Asteraceae. The record is from RNAcentral.
GAGUUUUUAUUAAUCAAAUUCAAAUAUUAUAAACUCUAAUUGAAAUUCGCGUUUUCGAAAUCUGCCUUCAUUGUUGUUUGAUUUCAUUACAGAUCUCAGAUCUCAAUUGUUGUCGAUUAAUAUUAGUUCUGCAACCACAAACGGGUGGACCUUUUUUUCGUUUACCAAGUGCUUUGAUGGUGCCUAGAUCAUUGGAAGCGGAGGAUCUGGGAUGGUGGUGCAAGAGAUAGAGAUGACCAGCUCAAACAUUUCUUCAGACAAGCAUCCAACGUUUCGAGUUAAAAUGUUGGGGAUUUGGGAAGGCGUAUAAUUGGAUUCGGGAAAGUGUACAUAGACCGCCUUACAAAUGUCGUAAGAUCAGAAUCUCACUGGACAAAAUGUAUGUGAUCAACUAUAUUAAGUAAAUGUCAGCACGUUGUACUGUAGGCUAGACUAUCUUCAUAGUUUGACUUUCAAUGCAAUAUUAUACAUUGUGUAUACGGAAAGCCUAACAUUUU